GGGAUUGGCGACGUUGGUGCUCCCGGCGCGCCAGUGGAGGGCGGGAGCCCGACGGAGGAGUGUGGGCUGCGGGGCAGAUGUCAUGUGGCCUGUGCUUUGGACCGUGGUGCGUACCUAUGCUCCCUAUGUCACAUUCCCUGUGGCCUUUGUGGUCGGGGCUCUGCUAGGCAAGGACCACACCCAGGUGGUGAGCCUUAAGGACAAGCUGGAAUUUGCCCCUAAAGCUGUCCUGAACAGAAACCGACCGGAGAAGAAUUAACGAAGGACACAGGGCCCUAUGGGUCCUUCAGUGGGCCUUGUCUGGCCCUGCCACCAUGUCGACCCAGCUCUAGAACCCACAUCUGAUUUGCUUUAUUGCUUCUGGCCCCUCUUGCCCCACACAGCCACACACUCUGGCUGCUCUGCUGUGGCCAGGCAGACGCGCUGGUAGCCUCAGGGGCCAGUGAAGAGGAAGGCUCACGAGGGUUCUGACCUGAAAGUUGCAUCUGCUGGUUGGUGGCCACCGCUGCUCAGGCUUCUGCGCUGCUGGGUGCACCACUGGGAGGAGUUAUGAGAUGAACACUGGCUCUCAGUCCCUUCGGGGAAGCAGUUCGGCCCCAAGGGGGAGUGGCUGGGAUUGGGGGUUGUCUUUAGGAGGGAUACCUACAUGUCUAGUUCCAGUUCGCACUGGGAGGAGGUCACAGAUCUGCCUGGCUUGCCCUGUCCUUUGUGCUCAUUCUCCCUCCAGUCCUGGCCUAGCACUCAGGCAGGGAUUCCCCUGGGAAGGAAAGCCCUUUUGUUCUUGGGAGCCCAGGCUGUUCACCUUGGGGCAUGUGACUUCGCUUGAAAACAGUCACUACCUUUCACCCCCCCAUCACUGUUCAGAGCAAAACUUGAUUAAAGUGGUGUCUGAGAACCAUAUUGAUCUAAUCCUAUCUUCCAGGUGGUGUUGGGGUCUCCUUAGAGUUAUGCAAGUGCAGGUGACUCCAGGUAGGAAAACGCUGGCCUUUAACUGAAUAAGGACUUCGGGGCCAUAGAAACUUUGUUUUACUAACAUGGUUGUACUGGGUCCCAGAGGCACCCGUUCCCAAGAGCCUUUUUAUCAUGAUAACAAGAGGCUUAUAGGACCUUUCAAAGUCUAAAUUAGAGGAGCCCAGGAACCUGAACAAUUGUUGUCAGUUUACCAAUUUCAUGCACGUACGUAUACACACAUAUAGUUUUCCCGGUGAAAGUAGUAUUUGUACAUUAAAGAACAUUUGGUAGGGAUUUUAAAAAAAUGGUUACCCAAGAGAUCCCUCCAUUGCAUAGUGGGUUAAUAAUCCGGCUCAUCUCAUGGUGUUGCUAGGUCGAUGCCUGCUGCAGUGGUUUAAGGAUCUGGUGUUGCAGCUGUAGCCUAGGUUGUAGAUGUGGCUCGGAUUUGAUCCUGUGGCCCAGGAACUUUAUAUGCUGUGGGUGCAGCCAAAAAUGGGGAAAACAAAAACAAAAAACCCAAACAGAUAGUUAUCCACACUCUGAGGGCCCAUUUACAGCUAAAAAGCUCACAUUUUGGUAUCUUUCACUAAUUCUUGACCUAGUUUUUUGCUUUCUUUCUGAUGGUUAUCAUUACUGUACAUUUAAUUUUAUAUUCUUUUUUCACAUGGUGUUUCACAUCGUAAUCAUUUUCUCAUUUUAUCACAUGGUCUUCAUAGUCCUCAUUGUUUCAACAGCUGUAUAAUUGCCCAUUGAGUGGGAACAUAGCAU
Molecule: long non-coding RNA, 1719 nt
Filed under: Sus scrofa (pig)
Lineage: Eukaryota; Metazoa; Chordata; Mammalia; Artiodactyla; Suidae
Description: lncRNA (ENSSSCG00005009223.1)
Source: RNAcentral